UACGAAGGGGGCUAGCGUUGUUCGGAAUCACUGGGCGUAAAGCGCACGUAAGCGGAUCGUUAAGUCGGGGGUGAAAUCCCGAGGCUCAACCUCGGAACUGCCUUCGAUACUGGCGAUCUUCGAGUCCGGGAGAGGUGAGUGGAACUCCGAGUGUAGAGGUGAAAUUCGUAGAUAUUCGGAAGAACACCAGUGGCGAAGGCGGCUCACUGGCCCGGUACUGACGCUGAGGCACGAAAGCGUGGGGAGCAAACAGG
This 254-nucleotide ribosomal RNA is filed under the name uncultured bacterium. RNAcentral's name for it is "partial 16S ribosomal RNA". It matches the Rfam family "Bacterial small subunit ribosomal RNA", at positions 524 to 776 of the family's 1533-position model. The record is from RNAcentral.